Non-coding RNA from Burkholderia sp., 155 nucleotides. The record is from Rfam. Lineage: Bacteria; Pseudomonadati; Pseudomonadota; Betaproteobacteria; Burkholderiales; Burkholderiaceae.
CCUGCUGUACGACCAGCAGUAGCCUAGGAAGACAUGCGUCACUGGCAACGGUGGGGUGUGAAGCUCUUCUGACAAUGUAGCCCCCGGAUGUUUCGGGCAGGUCUUUUCCGUGAGGGAUCGACUUGGAGACUCCUAGCAGCGAUGGGGUUGAGGAG